This 330-nucleotide unclassified non-coding RNA is filed under the name soil metagenome. RNAcentral describes it as "partial contains 5.8S ribosomal RNA, internal transcribed spacer 2, and large subunit ribosomal RNA". The stretch from base 1 to 119 matches the Rfam family "5.8S ribosomal RNA", at positions 35 to 154 of the family's 154-position model. The record is from RNAcentral.
GAUGAAAACGUAGCGAAAUGCGAUAAGUAAUGUGAAUUGCAGAAUUCAGUGAAUCAUCGAAUCUUUGAACGCACAUUGCGCCCCCUGGUAUUCCGGGGGGCAUGCCUGUUCGAGCGUCAUUUCACCACUCAAGCCUCGCUUGGUAUUGGGCAACGCGGUCCGCCGCGUGCCUCAAAUCGUCCGGCUGGGUCUUCUGUCCCCUAAGCGUUGUGGAAACUAUUCGCUAAAGGGUGUUCGGGAGGCUACGCCGUAAAACAACCCCAUUUCUAAGGUUGACCUCGGAUCAGGUAGGGAUACCCGCUGAACUUAAGCAUAUCAAUAAGCGGAGGA